This is a non-coding RNA of Odocoileus virginianus texanus, 883 nucleotides long. The record is from RefSeq and is a predicted model, not a curated record. Lineage: Eukaryota; Metazoa; Chordata; Mammalia; Artiodactyla; Cervidae.
UUCGGAGGCAGAUGCGCGUUAACCUCUUCGGUCCUGCGCCGCAGCUCCGGCUUCCAACUGCCUGCAGAACCCAGCCGGCAGUGACUGAGAGCUGAGCAUCUCUCCUGGAUACCCGCCUCUUCAAAUCCUCUCGGCCACAUCUAAUUUUUAUUCCAUCCAUUGCUACAGUGGCCCUGCUCUGCAGUCUCUGACCAGUUUCAGCGCUGGACGCACGACAGAUGCUCAAUCAACGUUGGGAGGAUGAAUGGCCAGAGAGGAAUCUCCGUGAAAGCCCUGGGCGCAGAGGUGGGCAGAAGGCAGCAGAACGCAAGCUAUACUGGCCGUGCUCCCUGACCCGAGGCUCGCCUCCACCCCAGCGCUUCCCGCCAGCCUGGCGGCAGUGGUCAUCAUGCCCCUGGGCAGGCAGUGGGUGCCAGUCAGCUGUGAGGCAACUCAGAACCAGAGGCUCCCUCUGAUUGUGAGAAAAACAAAUGAGAUCACCUUCAGGGGUGGAGAUUCAUCCUGAGAUUCUCGGAAAUCCCAAGGAAGCGUGGGAAAUCAGCUACAUGAGAUUCCGACAUGUGUGACCACAGGGGUGAACCUGGAAGACAUGACAGCAAGUGAAAGAAGCCAGAUCAAGGAAACAGAAACAAAACCGUGUGUGAUUCCACUUAUGUGAGGUACCCGGGGCCGUCAAACUCAUGGAGACGAGAAGUAGAAUGGUGGUUUCCUGGGGCUGAGGGGAGGAGGGAUGAGGAAUUAGGAUGUAAGGGGUGCAAAGUUUCACUUGGGAAGAUGAAAAGGUUCUGGAGAUGGAUGGUGGAGAUGGCUGAACAACAGUGUGAGUGAACGUAAUGCCACUGAACCGUAUGCUGAAAAAUUGUUAAAGUCAAUUUUUGUUUGU